UACAGAGGGGGCAAGCGUUAUUCGGAAUUAUUGGGCGUAAAGGGCGCGUAGGCGGCUUGGCAAGUGGAAGGUGAAAUCCCUCGGCUUAACCGAGGAACUGCCCUCCAAACUGCUUCGCUUGAGACCGGGAGAGGUGAGUGGAAUUCCCAGAGUAGCGGUGAAAUGCGUAGAUAUUGGGAGGAACACCAGUGGCGAAGGCGGCUCACUGGACCGGUACUGACGCUGAUGCGCGAAAGCGUGGGGAGCAAACGGG
This 253-nucleotide ribosomal RNA is filed under the name uncultured bacterium. Its description in RNAcentral is "partial 16S ribosomal RNA". It matches the Rfam family "Bacterial small subunit ribosomal RNA", at positions 524 to 776 of the family's 1533-position model. The record is from RNAcentral.